This 406-nucleotide ribosomal RNA is filed under the name uncultured bacterium. Its description in RNAcentral is "partial 16S ribosomal RNA". It matches the Rfam family "Bacterial small subunit ribosomal RNA", at positions 30 to 526 of the family's 1533-position model. The record is from RNAcentral.
AUUGAACGCUGGCGGCAGGCCUAACACAUGCAAGUCGAACGAGUGGCGGACGGGUGAGUAGUGCCUGGGAAACUGCCUGAUGGAGGGGGAUAACUACUGGAAACGGUAGCUAAUACCGCAUACCAUCAGAUGUGCCCAGAUUGGAUGAGCUAGUUGGUGGGGUAAGGGCUCACCAAGGCGACGAACCCUAGCUGGUCUGAGAGGAUGACCAGCCACACUGGAACUGAGACACGGUCCAGACUCCUACGGGAGGCAGCAGUGGGGAAUAUUGCACAAUGGGCGAAAGCCUUAUGCAGCCAUGCCGCGUGUAUGAAGAAGGCCUUCGGGUUGUAAAGUACUUUCAGCGGGGAGGCGUUACCCGCAGAAGACGCACCGUCUAACUCCGUGCCAGCAGCCGCGGUAAUUC